UACGUAGGUGGCAAGCGUUGUCCGGAUUUACUGGGCGUAAAGAGCGCGCAGGCGGUCGUUCAAGUCGCGUGUGAAAGCCCCCGGCUCAACUGGGGAGGGUCACGCGAUACUGAUCGACUCGAAGGCAGGAGAGGGUAGUGGAAUUCCCGGUGUAGAGGUGAAAUUCGUAGAUAUCGGGAGGAACACCAGUGGCGAAGGCGGCGACCUGGACGGAUACUGACGCUGAGGUGCGAAAGCGUGGGGAGCAAACAGG
Molecule: ribosomal RNA, 253 nt
Filed under: uncultured bacterium
Lineage: Bacteria
Description: partial 16S ribosomal RNA
Rfam family: Bacterial small subunit ribosomal RNA
Source: RNAcentral